Molecule: long non-coding RNA, 223 nt
Filed under: Elaeis guineensis (African oil palm)
Lineage: Eukaryota; Viridiplantae; Streptophyta; Magnoliopsida; Arecales; Arecaceae
Description: long non-coding RNA (EGUI_LNC021943)
Source: RNAcentral
GUAUGGCAUGCAGAUGAAAUAUAGAAGUACAUUCGCACCAAACGUGAUCAAUUACUAAGCACUCUACUAUCAAGAGUAACUCAUGAAAGAUAUGGAUAUAAAUGUCCUUUCGAUCUGAGAUUACUAUGGUGACUUGUAAGUAACUCACUGUACUUUAGUAUCAGAUUAUCUGAAUUUUUAAUUCAGUGAUGGAAGAUUUUUGGAUACAGUUAAGUACUUAUUA